RNAcentral lists this ribosomal RNA (449 nucleotides) under uncultured bacterium. Its description in RNAcentral is "bacterial SSU rRNA". It matches the Rfam family "Bacterial small subunit ribosomal RNA", at positions 354 to 796 of the family's 1533-position model. The record is from RNAcentral.
GUGGGGAAUAUUGGACAAUGGGGGCAACCCUGAUCCAGCAAUGCCGCGUGUGUGAAGAAGGCCUUCGGGUUGUAAAGCACUUUCGAUGGGGAAAAACAAGCUCGACCUAACACGUCGGGCCCUGAUGGUACCCAGAGAAGAAGCACCGGCUAACUCUGUGCCAGCAGCCGCGGUAAUACAGAGGGUGCAAGCGUUAAUCGGAAUUACUGGGCGUAAAGGGUGUGUAGGUGGUUUGUUAAGUCAGGCGUGAAAUCCCCGGGCUCAACCUGGGAAUUGCGUCUGAUACUGACAGACUCGAGUGUGGUAGAGGGUAGUGGAAUUCCGCAUGUAGCAGUGAAAUGCGUAGAUAUGCGGAGGAACAUCAGUGGCGAAGGCGGCUACCUGGACCAACACUGACACUGAGGCACGAAAGCGUGGGUAGCAAACAGGAUUAGAAACCCGAGUAGUCC